CACCCAGCUCUGAAUACUUAAAAAAUGGCUUCUUAUAAAUUGAACCUAAAAAUAAAUAAAUUUUACUUUCAUGAAAAUGUGGGUCUUUGACCAGAAAAGUCCAGUACCAGACAUGAUAAAGGGGUGGCCCAGGCGAGUGCGGCAGACACAGAGCACCCCAUAUUAUGUAUUAUAGAAGUGUGUUUCCCUGCCGCUACUGAUCCAUGUCAUGCAGGUCACACAACAUGGCAGAGGUCUCUGGGCGCCUCCAGUGUCAGACGAAAACAUGCCGAGGGGUUUACAUAUAGAAUCCACAUCAUGGCCUGUGAUGGAGAAUACACUGAAGUAUGCCGGCACACCCGGUGCUGUACUGCAGACCAGCAGAGGUUCUCCUGGCCGCUCCCGCCUGUGUGCCGGCACACCCGGUGCUGUACUGCAGACCAGCAGAGGUUCUCCUGGCCGCUCCCGCCUGUGUGACGGCACACCCGGUGCUGUACUGCAGACCAGCAGAGGUUCUCCUGGCCGCUCCCGCCUGUGUGCCGGCACACCCGGUGCUGUACUGCAGACCAGCAGAGGUUCUCCUGGCCGCUCCUGCCUGUGUGCCGGCA
Long non-coding RNA from Bufo bufo (common toad), 587 nucleotides. RefSeq lists it as uncharacterized. NCBI's taxonomy places the organism in Eukaryota, Metazoa, Chordata, Amphibia, Anura, Bufonidae. The transcript is spliced from 3 exons. The record is from RefSeq and is a predicted model, not a curated record.